This 458-nucleotide ribosomal RNA is filed under the name uncultured bacterium. RNAcentral's name for it is "partial 16S ribosomal RNA". It matches the Rfam family "Bacterial small subunit ribosomal RNA", at positions 338 to 795 of the family's 1533-position model. The record is from RNAcentral.
CCUACGGGUGGCAGCAGUGAGGAAUAUUGGUCAAUGGGCGGGAGCCUGAACCAGCCAUGCCGCGUGAAGGCGAGUGCCCUACGGGCGUUAAACUUCUUUUGUUCGGGAGCAAUAAUGGCCCCGUUUGGCCCUAUGAUAUUACCGCUCGAAUAAGCAUCGGCUAACUCCGUGCCAGCAGCCGCGGUAAUACGGGGGAUGCGAGCGUUAUCCGGAUUUAUUGGGUUUAAAGGGUGCGUAGGCGGACUGUUAAGUCAGCGGUAAAAGCCCGGGGCUCAACCCCGGCGAGCCGUUGAAACUGGCUGUCUGGAGAUGUCGAGAGGUAGGCGGAAUGCGCAGUGUAGCGGUGAAAUGCUUAGAUAUUGCGCAGAACUCCGAUUGCGAAGGCAGCAUACCGGAGGCGAUCUGACGCUGAGGCACGAAAGCGUGGGUAUCGAACAGGAUUAGAUACACGGGUAGUC